GGGGAAUAUUGCGCAAUGGGGGGAACCCUGACGCAGCCAUGCCGCGUGAAUGAAGAAGGCCUUCGGGUUGUAAAGUUCUUUCGGUAUUGAGGAAGGUUGAUGUGUUAAUAGCACAUCAAAUUGACGUUAAAUACAGAAGAAGCACCGGCUAACUCCGUGCCAGCAGCCGCGGUAAUACGGAGGGUGCGAGCGUUAAUCGGAAUAACUGGGCGUAAAGGGCACGCAGGCGGUUAUUUAAGUGAGGUGUGAAAGCCCUGGGCUUAACCUAGGAAUUGUAUUUCAGACUGGGUAACUAGAGUACUUUAGGGAGGGGUAGAAUUCCACGUGUAGCGGUGAAAUGCGUAGAGAUGUGGAGGAAUACCGAAGGCGAAGGCAGCCCCUUGGGAAUGUACUGACGCUCAUGUGCGAAAGCGUGGGGAGCAAACAGGAUUAGAUACCCUGGUAGUCCACGCUGUAAACGCUGUCGAUUUGGGGGUUGGGGUUUAACUCUGGCGCCCGUAGCUAACGUGAUAAAUCGACCGCCUGGGGAGUACGGCCGCAAGGUUA
This 546-nucleotide ribosomal RNA is filed under the name uncultured bacterium. RNAcentral describes it as "bacterial SSU rRNA". It matches the Rfam family "Bacterial small subunit ribosomal RNA", at positions 356 to 896 of the family's 1533-position model. The record is from RNAcentral.